Molecule: long non-coding RNA, 212 nt
Filed under: Jatropha curcas
Lineage: Eukaryota; Viridiplantae; Streptophyta; Magnoliopsida; Malpighiales; Euphorbiaceae
Description: long non-coding RNA (JCUR_LNC003458)
Source: RNAcentral
AAACAUGCAGAAACUGGACUCGUUAAUCUUAUUGAACGAGUUUUUAUUGAAGAGCUCACUUGCAGUUUGACUUAUUUAUAGCCCGGUCAUGCAUGUGGGGAAGGAUUUACUCUGCACCUUAUUGUAGAAUGUAAAUAGCUAUAAAACGUAUGUAGAUAUGCUACCAACAGCAUAAUAUAGGUGGAAUUUAAACUCUCAAUCCACCAACAUGU